CCUACGGGAGGCAGCAGUGGGGGAUAUUGGACAAUGGGCGAAAGCCUGAUCCAGCCAUGCCGCGUGUGUGAAGAAGGCCUUCGGGUUGUAAAGCACUUUCAGGGGGGAAGAAAGCCUUGGGGCUAAUACCCUCGAGGAAGGACAUCACCCACAGAAGAAGCACCGGCUAACUCCGUGCCAGCAGCCGCGGUAAUACGGAGGGUGCGAGCGUUAAUCGGAAUUACUGGGCGUAAAGCGCGCGUAGGCGGUCUGAUAAGCCGGUUGUGAAAGCCCCGGGCUCAACCUGGGAACGGCAUCCGGAACUGUCAGGCUAGAGUGCAGGAGAGGAAGGUAGAAUUCCCGGUGUAGCGGUGAAAUGCGUAGAGAUCGGGAGGAAUACCAGUGGCGAAGGCGGCCUUCUGGACUGACACUGACGCUGAGGUGCGAAAGCGUGGGUAGCAAACAGGAUUAGAUACCCCUGUAGUC
This 465-nucleotide ribosomal RNA is filed under the name Vreelandella stevensii. RNAcentral's name for it is "partial 16S ribosomal RNA". It matches the Rfam family "Bacterial small subunit ribosomal RNA", at positions 338 to 795 of the family's 1533-position model. The record is from RNAcentral. Lineage: Bacteria; Pseudomonadati; Pseudomonadota; Gammaproteobacteria; Oceanospirillales; Halomonadaceae.